This 424-nucleotide ribosomal RNA is filed under the name uncultured bacterium. Its description in RNAcentral is "bacterial SSU rRNA". It matches the Rfam family "Bacterial small subunit ribosomal RNA", at positions 343 to 766 of the family's 1533-position model. The record is from RNAcentral.
GGGAGGCAGCAGUGAGGAAUAUUGGUCAAUGGACGAGAGUCUGAACCAGCCAAGUAGCGUGAAGGAUGACUGCCUAUGGGUUGUAAACUUCUUUUAUAUGGGAAUAAGUGGAGUAUGUAUACUCUUUUGUAUGUACCAUAUGAAUAAGGAUCGGCUAACUCCGUGCCAGCAGCCGCGGUAAUACGGAGGAUCCGAGCGUUAUCCGGAUUUAUUGGGUUUAAAGGGAGCGUAGGCGGAUGCUUAAGUCAGUUGUGAAAGUUUGCGGCUCAACCGUAAAAUUGCAGUUGAAACUGGGUGUCUUGAGUGCAGUAUAGGCAGGCGGAAUUCGUGGUGUAGCGGUGAAAUGCUUAGAUAUCACGAAGAACUCCGAUUGCGAAGGCAGCUUGCUGGAGUGUCACUGACGCUGAUGCUCGAAAGUGUGGGU